UGAACUUUAGGUCUCCUACUGAUACCUUUACCAACAAUCUUGAAAUCAAUUCUUCAGAUUCUUUCAGCCAACGAUCCCAACUUUUGUGGAAUCGUCUUCAUCCCCUCUACAAACAAGCAUUUAGGUCAUUCUUGGGAAUGAUUAUUAUCUCAUUCAGAAGAGGAUCAGUUAUCAACACGCUGGACCUCGAAUUUCAAGCAACAGAUGUUCCUAGUAAUCAAGCAAUCGAAAAUGUUUUAAU
Xiphophorus maculatus (southern platyfish) is the source of this 241-nucleotide long non-coding RNA. RefSeq lists it as uncharacterized. NCBI's taxonomy places the organism in Eukaryota, Metazoa, Chordata, Actinopteri, Cyprinodontiformes, Poeciliidae. The transcript is spliced from 3 exons. The record is from RefSeq and is a predicted model, not a curated record.